RNAcentral lists this long non-coding RNA (1563 nucleotides) under Pan troglodytes (chimpanzee). RNAcentral's name for it is "long non-coding RNA NONPTRT015995". The record is from RNAcentral. Lineage: Eukaryota; Metazoa; Chordata; Mammalia; Primates; Hominidae.
GCUUGAUCUCAGCUCAUUGCAACCUCCGCCUCCUGGGUUCAAGCGAUUCUCCUGCCUCAGCCUCCCGAGUAGCUGGGACUACAGGCGCACGCCACCACGCCUGGCUAAUUUUUUGCAUUUUUACUAAAGUAGAGAUGGGGUUUCAUCAUGUUAGCCAAGAUGGUCUCCAACUCCUGACCUCGUGAUCGCCCGCCUCAGCCUCCCAAGUGCUGGGAUUACAGGCUUGAGCCACUGCGCCCAACCCAGAACUAUUUUAAGCAGGCCAAUCUUUGUAUUGUUUGGGCCACACACACGAUUCAGCCAGGGGGUGGGGGGCCUUUCACGUCUCUUCUCAUGGCCCGGGCCCUGUCAGCGGCAUUCACCUGUGUGGUAGGAGCCAUCGGCUGUGGGAACUCUGUGGAAGUGGCUAGCCUUGCACAUCCUCUGAUCAUGUUGACUUCAUCAGGGUGCGAGAAGCACUUGAGCUUGGCGUCGGUGAGUUCCCUAAGCCUCUUUUGCGUGUGUUGCAGCUCAUGCCAGUUACUAUGGGAGAAUGAAUGUGAGAGAGGUUCUCAGAGAGGAUGGCCACCUCAGUGUAAAUGGGGAAGCGCUGUGUAAGUAUGGCUUCGUUUUCCUGUGGGCGUCGGUCGUGGAGUUGGUCCCACACGCUGUCAUGUUGGGUACUAGCAGUAGAGAAUGAACGGCCCGUGUGACAUGGCGGUCCUCACUGAUGACGACGGGCUGUUGGAGCUGCUGCUUAAGCCCUCAUCACAGAAGCUCAUAGCCACCAGAUCGCAUUUGCUUUGAUUGUUGACUGUCUUGUGUGUAAUUGAGUUUCCCAGUUUUUACAGACUGCCAUUGCUAUGCACAGUUGAGAUGGACAGAGUUUGCUUGUGAAUCCGCCACACUCACUGCCUGUCACCACACCCGCAGGCGACGACUGUAAGGGCAAGAGGCACCUCGACGCGCACACAGCCGCCCACUCGCAGUCGCCACGGCCGCCCGGUCGGGCAGGGACCCUCUGGCACAUCUGGGCAUGUGCAGGUUACUUCUUGCUGCAGAUUCUGCGCAGGAUCGGAGCUGCGGGCCAGGCCGUGUCCAGGACGGCGUGGUCGGCCCUUUGGCUGGCCGUGGUUGCUCCAGGGAAGGCAGCCUCUGGAGUGUUCUGGUGGCUGGGGAUUGGAUGGUACCAGUUUGUUACUUUGAUUUCUUGGCUGAAUGUGUUUCUUCUUACCAGUCCCAGGUGCCUUCGAAACAUCUGCAAGUUUUUAGUCUUGCUCAUCCCACUCUUCCUUUUACUAGGUAAGUCAAAUCUGGCUGAGUUGCCUCCGAUGGCUAAGCGGUACACACAUACGUGUAACUUAGUGGAAACAAAUGAGCGUGUAAGUCCGUGUUUUGAGAAGCGUGGUGUACCCGUGUGUGUGUGGUGGUUCUUCUCUUUUAGCAGGUCUCUCCUUACGGGGCCAGGGCAAUUUCUUUUCGUUCUUGCCCGUGUUGAACUGGGCAAGCAUGCAUAGAACACAGCGGGUGGAUGACCCCCAGGACGUGUUUAAACCCACGACUUCUCGCCUGAAGCAGCCUCUG